AAAAGAAACACUCAUUUUUACCGUACGUUUUUUUCCUUUUUUCAGAAUUAUAAGUACACUGCAUGACUAUUUUAUCUCAAGUUGCCCCCUUUAUUAUUGCCUCCAGGUAUGAUCACACAAGCUGUAGCUAAAUGCAAAAGAAUUUUUGCGAAUUCUUUCGACACGUGUUGGGAGAAACUUCACUGGCUGUCAAGUGGGCCUUGUGCUGGCCUAUGAAACUGGAUUUCAUCUGUAACGUUGGCAAAGUUUUUGGAAAUGAGAGUGUAUGCGAUCCAGGUAAAAUCAUCGCUCCGGGAUUCGGGAGUAGUUUUCAAUACAUGGAAAAGUCUGUGUACGAAUUUAAAGAGGGCUUCAGAAAAGUUCAAGUGCAAAUUCAAGUUGACAAGGCGACUAAAUUAGUUGAAGGGGUUCAAGAUGCAUACAGUGCAGCACAAGCUGUCCAACAAGAGUUUCAAGUCAAACAAAGAGUUGCAAUGUUUUCUUCAAACUGACAAACAUAAUUUUGGCCUUCUCUUUCCUCGCUGUGAUCCUUGGUGCGUCUUAAUCUUUUCAUCGUUGAUAAGUAAUUUUCAAUUUGUACUGUGUGUGAAAUUCGCGAGGGAUAAUAUGAAUUUUAAACUCGCAUACGAAAUAGAAAAAAGAGAACAAAAUGAUGAUUAUUGGCACCUCCUACACAAGUUGUAUUUUCUGAUAAUCGCAUGUAUAAUAAUGAAGGUAGCUCUAUCUUAUUCCAUCUUUUUUUUUUUUUUUUUCAG
This 755-nucleotide long non-coding RNA is filed under the name Bemisia tabaci. RNAcentral describes it as "lncRNA ENSSWEETPG010797". Lineage: Eukaryota; Metazoa; Arthropoda; Insecta; Hemiptera; Aleyrodidae. The record is from RNAcentral.